GUACUCGUUGUUACGAUCGCGUGAACGUGAAUUAGACCCAAAUGAAAAAGUCACGCUCCGUUAAAGUACGUUAACAAUGGGUGGAUUUGUACACGCAUGUGGGCUAAUUUAUUCUGUGUUGGAAACACUGUUUUUGAUAAAGGGAUAGAUUUUCUGAGUACUUUUUACUGUGCAAAUCUGAAAAACCCUAUCCCAUUUCCUUUUUAGAACCGGUCCCGUGUACCCAUUCCCCUCACCAAUCAAUUACUAUCUUCAAAUCUCUCACCCAAUCAUACAACAUUCCUCUCUCUUCUUCUCAGCCAAUUAGAGACCCCUCUCUCUCUCUCAUCUUCUUCUUUCUUCUCUCUCUCACCGAGGCUCUAUUUUCUCUGCAACAACAAAGAUCAUCUACAAAAACUCACAGAUCAAACCUAAACACACUACCAUCGUACUCCACUCAUCUUCACGAACCCAGCCGUACCCACCGAUCACAAAAUGGACAAGUUUUAACUCGUCAACUCAGAAGCUCCGACUCGGAGGACUUUGUUCCAACGUGAUCCUAGCUGAGUUACAAGUUUUUAGGAUGUUAGGAAGCCUCUACACAACUUCCCGAGGCUCUUAAUAUAAGUUUGAAGAAGAACCAACGUGUUAAAGCACGGUUUCAAAUAGUCGAGUUUUAGGUCGAGACUUUUGAGGCAUUUUCAGGCCUCUUCCCAUCCAUUUUUGGACUUCCAAAAGGUAUAGACUUGUUCUACUCCUUAAGAGCUUCAUUUCCAUAUAAAUUUAAUAAAAAAUAGUUGAGAAAUGAGCAGGCUGAUUUGAAUUUUUCCCUAGAAACCGGCAAAGUUUUAUAGUUUCCAGCAAAACUAGACGGCGGCGGAUGGAGGCGUUCCACCGGAGAAGACGAAGAAUAUUCCGUCAAAGUUGACGGAAUAUUCUAACGGCAUCAGGUAACGUCGUUAAGUUCUGUUACUCCGUCAACUCUGAUAGAAUAUUCCUGACUUCUGUUAGUCUCUACCAGGCGCGCACUUGGCCGCACAUGUGAUCGUGGGCUAAGCGGCGCGUAAGGGUGUGUCCGGCCUCCAGCCGGCGAGUGGUUGACGCGUAUGGGUCCGUGACAUCGAGUAGAAUGUUUUCAUAUAUUCAAACCUUCUGUUUGAGCAAACUAUGGGGGGUUUUUCCUAGCUUUAGUGUAUGUGUAAAUUAACUAAUUAUUAUUAGUUGUUUCGCAUAUGGGGAGACUUAUCCUGAGGACAUACGAGGACAAGUGAGGCUAAAGGGCUACAAUCCAUCGACGUAUCAGUAAGUAGGCAUUUGUUUUCGUGUAUAUAUAUAUAUAUAUAUAUAUAUAUAUAAACUUUAUAGUUUCCAUAAAUGCUUUUGAAUUGAUUUAUGCAUAUCAUGCCAUGAUUAAAUAACGUUAUAAGAAAUGUUGUAUUGUGGUGAAAUGCUAAAUAAUCCUACGGGAUGCGCAACUAAGUUUAUUGUCAGGUAAGUUUAUUAUGUUGACUAUAAUUUUUGAAUUGUUAUGGCAUGCUUAUAUUUAUGUAGUCUGCUCAUCAUUGUUGCACCCCAGUGUUAGUGCUUGCCCCGGGCCAAGGCCAAUCUUUCAUGUGUAUGUUCACCUUCGCACCGCACGCUCGCCUUGGAUCCAAGUAGGUGCCAGUUUUGUCGUACAUGUUGCAUUAGGCAACUCCAACUCGUAGGUGAUCGUGAUUAGCACCAGUCUUCACGUGAUUGUAGCACUAGAGCGUAUAUUAUGAUUACACCUAGUCCUGUCGUACAGGUCGCAUUAGGUGACUUUAACUCGUGUGCUAGCAUACAUUGAUGAGCAUUAGUUCAGUCGUACAGGUCGCAUUAAGCGACUCCGACUUGUGUGCUAGUAUAGAUUGAUUGAACCCCUGAUUUUACUUAUCUUACUAUUGAGAUAUUGUGAUGUGGCAUACUUCUGGGUUUACUGUUGAUUUGCAUUUGAUUUCAUACCUAUACGUAGUAUGAUUUUCUAGAAACUAUACAUGUUUGACAGCGAGGGAUUAGUAUGUUCAGAAAAUAAAUGGUUUUUAUAAAAUUUUGUUUUUACCAGUCACCCUUCUGUUUUUCGCCCUUCCAAGUCCUAGAUAGCUGAAUUACUCUGUGGCGUAUGAGGAUUAGCCGAUGAUUCUGACAUAUCCCUGUUUAAGUGUAGGAACUUAUCUCAUUGUGUAUUAAGUACUUAAUUAGUUUCGACUGCACCCUUUUGUCAUCUAUGCAUUGAAUAUUUGUAUUUUAUGGGUUCUACCCACUAUUGCGCACUCACUUUAUUAGUUUGAAUAAGCUCUAGUUUCGGUUUUAAUUUAUUCACAUUUUUACAUCACGGCCAGCAUGCCUCAACUCCAGUCGGGUGUGUCACUAAGAACAUUGCAAAACGUUUGAAAAAGUACGAGGAAAAGAUGAAGGCACACACCCUUUAUGUUAAACAAUCACCUCCCAAAAUCAUAUAUGUUACAAAUAGGUAUAUGGCUACUAUAGAUACAUGCAUCUGCAUAUCAUUCAACAAUUGAAAAUCAUUAUUUCUUCCAUACAAGCAUAAUGAGAGAACCACAAAGAAAUUCGCCAGAAACUAAGUAUUCUGGUGCGGGAAUCCUAGUUUAGAUCGUUGAAUCCUGGUGAAAUAGACGCAUAUAGAACUACAUGCACAAAAUGUGGGCGAAUUUUUGUUUCAAGAAUAUUGCGGUACGCAAGUCUCGAUCUUCACUUCGUUUGUUUUAUAUUAUUCUUGUUCAUUCAAUAUAUAAUGUUGUUAUUCAUUUGUUUAUUAGCAUAUUCGUGUGUGUGUGUAUAUAUAUUUGUUAUUGAUUGUUUAUAAAUAUCCAACAAAAAAUUAAAAAUGAAAUGGUUAUUAAACGGGUCUUUAAAAUACGUUUGUUUUUAAUAUUUAUUUUGUGUAUCUUUCUUGUACAAAUACUUUUAUAUAUUUUCCACCAUUCUUCCUCCACCCUUCUAUAUUUAUUUUUCUUUCAUGUAUUUCCCCCUUCUCUUUAUCCACAGAUGAAGUAAUUCUAGAGUCGAAUAAACAGGUCGAUGUCGCAAAACAUAGAGAGAUAUUAAUGGAACUCCUUUAUAACUCGUACAUUCCAUAUCCCAUCGCAUGGGAAUUGUUGGGAUGGAAUUAUGGAACUGAUGUGAAAAAUAAGUUAACACACAAAAUUAAACCCUCUUUUUAUCAAUUGUAGCAAAGUAUGUAAAUAGGGAUCGUUCUAGACCGGGGAUUAGGAUGGAUUGCUAAACACUUGAAAACUGACUUAGAAAUGUAAAAACAAAGUUUAAAGCACUAGAUUAGACUCAAAAAAUGCAAAACUAAACUCUAAAACACUAAAACGAACCAAAAGAAUCAAAACAGCAACCAAACACUCAAAA
RNAcentral lists this long non-coding RNA (3375 nucleotides) under Malus domestica (apple). Its description in RNAcentral is "long non-coding RNA (MDOM_LNC003939)". The record is from RNAcentral. Lineage: Eukaryota; Viridiplantae; Streptophyta; Magnoliopsida; Rosales; Rosaceae.